UCGGGAAUUUUGGGCAAUGGGCGAAAGCCUGACCCAGCAACGCCGCGUGAAGGAUGAAGUAUUUCGGUAUGUAAACUUCGAAAGAAUAGGAAGAAUAAAUGACGGUACUAUUUAUAAGGUCCGGCUAACUACGUGCCAGCAGCCGCGGUAAUACGUAGGGACCAAGCGUUGUUCGGAUUUACUGGGCGUAAAGGGCGCGUAGGCGGCAAUUCAAGUCAUCUGUGAAAUCUCCGGGCUUAACUCGGAACGGUCAGAUGAUACUGCUUUGCUAGAGUGCAGAAGGGGCAAUCGGAAUUCUUGGUGUAGCGGUGAAAUGCGUAGAUAUCAAGAGGAACACCUGAGGUGAAGACGGGUUGCUGGGCUGACACUGACGCUGAGGCGCGAAAGCCAGGGGAGCAAACGGGGNUUAGAUACCCUGGUAGUCCCUGAGCGGGC
Molecule: ribosomal RNA, 435 nt
Filed under: uncultured bacterium
Lineage: Bacteria
Description: bacterial SSU rRNA
Rfam family: Bacterial small subunit ribosomal RNA
Source: RNAcentral